CCGGGGCGGGCCGGAGGCGGAGGUCGUGGGGAACCGCGCGCGUUGGCCCAGGGGAUGGGGUGCUGAAGGAGGGCGAGGAGUUGGCAAACUUUCCAGGUGCCCGGUGUGUGUGUGUAUGUGCGCUUAGACGGACAGCAAGCCCCCGUCGUCACUCUGUCAAGCGAACAGUCGCCCCUUUGGCCAGAUGGAGAAGCUUUUUUCGGCGCCCAAGAGGAGAAUCAUAACAGAAACCGCAAGGGCACACGCUGGCUGCGCUAGCGCCACAUGCCGACGAGGACCACGGCCGCCGCUCCGCCCCCACCCCCCCACCCCCGACUGCCACCCCCACCUCAGCCCGUGGUGAGGUUGGGGUGAGGUGCGUAUAUAUUCAAGCUGGGGGAGAACGGUAAGGUAGAGAGAGGGCAGUGUUGCCGCUCCCGCGUUGCACGUGUUACCAUGCCCCCAAGAGUUUUCUCGAAGGUUAGAAAAGGAAGGUGUAUGAAGCUCAUGCCGUGUACAGACCUCACUGAAGUAUUCCAGGAAACUGUCGUCGUAGAAAGCUUCCAACAGACUGGGUAUCUGAUAAGCCCCUCUCUUUUCAAGAUCCAUUCUGAAAUACUCAGGAAGGGAAGAGUACUAUAUGCUUGUUUGGCUCGAAAACAUCCCAGCAAAGUGUCCACGGGAAGAAGAAACUAGGAAGGCACCAGUUUUAAAUCGGAAGAUGACUAAAGCUUAGGCGACGGGUACUCGGACUCCUCCGUCUUUGUAUAUGUUCGCGAUUCUCUAUGGGGAAAAUGUCAAAAAGCAGGUGACAGACGCUUGUGCAGUUAUCCCGUGAAGACGUACUAGGAAGAGACUCUAAACGCAGGCUGUCCUUGAGAACAGUUUGUUCGUUUAAAAAAAGUAGAAUACAAAAAAAAGCACGAAAAUGGAAACACCCAAGUUUUAACAGUGCUGGGGUGGGGAGUAGGGCAUGGUGGUUUUUUUUUUUUUUUAAUCUUUGCACUGUUGUCGUCGUGUGCCAUCCAGUGGGUUGGGACUCGUAGUGACCCUACGGGACAGAGUUGAACUGCCCCAUAGGGUUCCUAAAGAGCAGCCUGUGGAUUCGAACUGCUGUCGUUUUGGUCAGCAGCUGAGCUCUGAACCGCUGAGCCACCAGGGCUCCAUCUUCGCACUAACUCUCCAGUAUGAGGUAAGUUAACUUCGCAAUACAAGCAGAAUGGCUUUUGAAAAGAAAAACCCAGUUUAAAAAAUAGACGUAUCUUGAUUUCAACCCACUCUGAUGACAGUAACAAAAAGACAUACACGUGUGUGGAUACAGAUACAGACAUACAGAUACGCAUGUCCGUAUGCGGGUUUAUACGUGUGUACGCACGUAUGCGCAUGUGUGCGUACUCCUACGACACCCAUAUACAGGUAUGUAUGUCUGCCUCUGUAUAUAUGCAUAUGUAUACAUACGUAUGUAUACGUAUACGCAGAUACAUACGCAUGCAGAUACUUAUGUGCACAUAUACACGUGUGCACGUAUAUCUACAUCUGUGUAUGUACGUGCGGGUGCAUGUAUGUGUAUAUGUGUACGUACACGUAAGCAUAUAUAUGUGUAUGUACGUAUACAUAUGUAUAUAAGCAUACCCGUAUGUGUACGUGUGUGUACAUGUACACGUGUACGUGCAUGCUUACCUAUAUAUGUAUGCGUUAUAUACCUAAGUGUGUACGUGGGUACAUAUACGUGUAUGUAUGCACAUACAUAUAGACACAUAUAUAUGAAUACAUACGUUUACGGACGUAUAUAUGCGUUUACGUACACACACGCAUGUGUAUAUAUACGCACACCCACACCUCUACAUGUAAUCAGUAAAAACUAAAGCAGUGUUGCCACCAUGUUUUUAAUGAUCCUUUGACUCGUGUGCCCGCCUACCCCCUUCUGGCUACCUUACAAGGGAAAUUCCAACUUUCAAAACUUGAGGCAUGUCAUUAAUGGAUGGGCUGAAUGAAUAUUCAUCCAACUUUCCCUUUUUGAAAUAUAAUAGAAGCAGUCUAAACGCAGGCCGUCCUUGAGGAAAUUGAAUGAGAUGACGAGAGAGUGCGUCGAAAAGAGGGCGUUGAAAAUUCCAGCCACAGUUGAGACGGGACAUCUCCAAGUGUGUUCACAACCCAAAGGUCGUCAUAAGGGAAUGACAGCACCCUCAGUCCAUCAAACACACGCCCCCUUGGAGGGGUGAGGAAACUCUCUUCGAUGUCACGAAGACAGUCACGACAGCAACCGGAAGGGCACAUACCAGCAGCGCUAGCCAAAGGUAGUAAUAAAUAUUAGGGGAGAAAAGGGAUUCAUAAUGAGGUCAGAGAAGCAAUGGGUUGAACAAAGGUAAUUUUUUUGUUGUUGUUCUCAGAAUCUGUUACUAGGCAGAGGUAUUAUCACUGCCUUAGUUUUUAGUAGUCCAUUAUAAUCUACAAUCAUUUCAUUAUUUAAAUUUUCCUUAAAUUUGGAGUUUGGCCACAAUGUUAAUCUCUGAAUCAUGAAUGACAGAGCAGUUAUGGCAAAUUGUCCACUCUGAGCAAAACGUACCCCAGAGAUGAAGAUUGCAUGACUCCAGUGGCAUUACAGUGGUUACACUGAUUAUUCACUGAUUUCUAGUGGCUCUCAGUCAUCUACCUACCUAGUUUUUAAAAUGGCUAAUGAUCAUUUGGAUUAUAGUUUUGCUGUAUAUAAAUAUAUAUUAGUAUUUUUUAAAGUGGGAAUCAUGAUCAUUAAGUUGUGAAGACAAUUUUGUAAGCUACAAUGUUUAUAAUAGAAAACAGCAAAGUGCACUGCAAUUAGAAUAGGUAAGUAUUGUUUGAGGGAACUUUUGUUUGUUAUUUUAUCAAAGGCUUUGGAUGCGGUUCAUAGUCACCCAAUUUUAGAGUCUUGAGUUCUGAGAAUACUAUCCACCAAAUCCUGGGAAUCAGACAUGGAAAAAUCUCAAUCAUUUACUGCCUCAACACCUUCUCCAGUUCAUUCUCACUCACCGAACACCAACCAGAGCCACCGUCACUCCUCUGACCAUCCAACUGCAUUCAACGACGCUUUGUCAGGAUUCCAUUACUUAAAAGUUGCUUUUAUUUUGCCAAGUGUUAUUUGUAUUUAUUAUGCAUCUAACAUGUUUCACUGUUUACUGUCAUUUUAGUAUCUGUUACCUGAAGUGUAGGAAAACUUAAUUCAUAUUUCAUAUUGUUCAAUAUCACUGCAUAAAGCCCAGAAAAGUAUCGACUAAUUCACUAAUUGUUGGGGUUUGAAAUAUUUUACAUUAUUCAGAAAUACUUCACAGAAGUCAUGUAGGUGGUUUAAGUUGAAUUUGAAUUAUAUUUUGAGAAAUUGGUUAGGGGUUUUUAAUGGCGUGGGAACACAUUUUCUCCAUUUAAAACAAUGGUGAUAUGUUGUUGUGUUCGCUGCUGCCGUGUCACUUCCAACUCAUAGCGACCCUGUGUACAACAGAAGAAAACACUGCUCAGUCCUGCACCAUCUUCACAACCUUUACUAUGUUUGAACCCACCACUGCAGCCACUAGGUCAAUCCAUCUCACUGAGGGUCUUCCUCUUUUUCCAUGACCCUCUACCUUACCAAGCAUGAUGUCUUCCUCCAGGGACUGGUCCCUCCUGGUAACGAUGUCCAAAGUACGUGACAUGAAGUCUUGCCAUCUGCACUUCCAAGGUGCACUCUGGAUGCACUUCCUCCAAGACAGGCUUGUUUGUUCUCCUGGCAGUCCAUAGUAUAUUCAAUAUUCUUUGCUAACACCAUCAUUCAAAGGUAUCAAUUCUUCAGUCUUGCUUAUUCAUUGUCCAGCUUUCACAUACAUAUGAGGUGACUGAAAA
Long non-coding RNA from Loxodonta africana (African savanna elephant), 3828 nucleotides. RefSeq lists it as uncharacterized. NCBI's taxonomy places the organism in Eukaryota, Metazoa, Chordata, Mammalia, Proboscidea, Elephantidae. The transcript is spliced from 2 exons. The record is from RefSeq and is a predicted model, not a curated record.